AGAGUUUGAUCAUGGCUCAGAUUGAACGCUGGCGGCAGGCCUAACACAUGCAAGUCGAACGGUAACAGAAAGCAGCUUGCUGCUUUGCUGACGAGUGGCGGACGGGUGAGUAAUGUCUGGGAAACUGCCUGAUGGAGGGGGAUAACUACUGGAAACGGUAGCUAAUACCGCAUAACGUCGCAAGACCAAAGAGGGGGACCUUCGGGCCUCUUGCCAUCGGAUGUGCCCAGAUGGGAUUAGCUUGUUGGUGGGGUAACGGCUCACCAAGGCGACGAUCCCUAGCUGGUCUGAGAGGAUGACCAGCCACACUGGAACUGAGACACGGUCCAGACUCCUACGGGAGGCAGCAGUGGGGAAUAUUGCACAAUGGGCGCAAGCCUGAUGCAGCCAUGCCGCGUGUAUGAAGAAGGCCUUCGGGUUGUAAAGUACUUUCAGCGGGGAGGAAGGGAGUAAAGUUAAUACCUUUGCUCAUUGACGUUACCCGCAGAAGAAGCACCGGCUAACUCCGUGCCAGCAGCCGCGGUAAUACGGAGGGUGCAAGCGUUAAUCGGAAUUACUGGGCGUAAAGCGCACGCAGGCGGUUUGUUAAGUCAGAUGUGAAAUCCCCGGGCUCAACCUGGGAACUGCAUCUGAUACUGGCAAGCUUGAGUCUCGUAGAGGGGGGUAGAAUUCCAGGUGUAGCGGUGAAAUGCGUAGAGAUCUGGAGGAAUACCGGUGGCGAAGGCGGCCCCCUGGACGAAGACUGACGCUCAGGUGCGAAAGCGUGGGGAGCAAACAGGAUUAGAUACCCUGGUAGUCCACGCCGUAAACAAUGUCGACUUGGAGGUUGUGCCCUUGAGGCGUGGCUUCCGGAGCUAACGCGUUAAGUCGACCGCCUGGGGAGUACGGCCGCAAGGUUAAAACUCAAAUGAAUUGACGGGGGCCCGCACAAGCGGUGGAGCAUGUGGUUUAAUUCGAUGCAACGCGAAGAACCUUACCUGGUCUUGACAUCCACGGAAGUUUUCAGAGAUGAGAAUGUGCCUUCGGGAACCGUGAGACAGGUGCUGCAUGGCUGUCGUCAGCUCGUGUUGUGAAAUGUUGGGUUAAGUCCCGCAACGAGCGCAACCCUUAUCCUUUGUUGCCAGCGGUCCGGCCGGGAACUCAAAGGAGACUGCCAGUGAUAAACUGGAGGAAGGUGGGGAUGACGUCAAGUCAUCAUGGCCCUUACGACCAGGGCUACACACGUGCUACAAUGGCGCAUACAAAGAGAAGCGACCUCGCGAGAGCAAGCGGACCUCAUAAAGUGCGUCGUAGUCCGGAUUGGAGUCUGCAACUCGACUCCAUGAAGUCGGAAUCGCUAGUAAUCGUGGAUCAGAAUGCCACGGUGAAUACGUUCCCGGGCCUUGUACACACCGCCCGUCACACCAUGGGAGUGGGUUGCAAAAGAAGUAGGUAGCUUAACCUUCGGGAGGGCGCUUACCACUUUGUGAUUCAUGACUGGGGUGAAGUCGUAACAAGGUAACCGUAGGGGAACCUGCGGUUG
This 1522-nucleotide ribosomal RNA is filed under the name Escherichia coli. RNAcentral's name for it is "bacterial SSU rRNA". It matches the Rfam family "Bacterial small subunit ribosomal RNA". RNAcentral also lists the same sequence under 2 other names. The record is from RNAcentral. Lineage: Bacteria; Pseudomonadati; Pseudomonadota; Gammaproteobacteria; Enterobacterales; Enterobacteriaceae.